RNAcentral lists this ribosomal RNA (408 nucleotides) under uncultured bacterium. Its description in RNAcentral is "partial 16S ribosomal RNA". It matches the Rfam family "Bacterial small subunit ribosomal RNA", at positions 28 to 526 of the family's 1533-position model. The record is from RNAcentral.
GACGAACGCUGGCGGCGUGCUUAACACAUGCAAGUCGAACGAAGUGGCGAACGGGUGAGUAACGCGUAAUCAACCUGCCCUUCAGAGGGGGACAACAGUUGGAAACGACUGCUAAUACCGCAUACUGAAGGAGGGGAUUGCGUCUGAUUAGCUAGUUGGAGGGGUAACGGCCCACCAAGGCGAUGAUCAGUAGCCGGGCUGGAGGGAUGAACGGCCAAAUUGGGACUGGGAAACGGCCCAGAAUCCUACGGGAGGCAGCAGUGGGGAAGCUUCCGCAAUGGACGGAAGUCUGACGGAGCAACGCCGCGUGAGGGAUGACGGCCUUCGGGUUGUAAAGCUCUGUUAAUCGGGACGCGGUACCGGAAUAGAAAGCCACGGCUAACUACGUGCCAGCAGCCGCGGUAAUUC